RNAcentral lists this ribosomal RNA (640 nucleotides) under Blastococcus sp. I12A-02939. RNAcentral describes it as "bacterial SSU rRNA". It matches the Rfam family "Bacterial small subunit ribosomal RNA", at positions 93 to 744 of the family's 1533-position model. Lineage: Bacteria; Bacillati; Actinomycetota; Actinomycetes; Geodermatophilales; Geodermatophilaceae. The record is from RNAcentral.
CAGUGGCGAACGGGUGAGUAACACGUGGGCAACCUGCCCCCGGCUCUGGGAUAACUCCAAGAAAUUGGGGCUAAUACCGGAUAUGACCGCUGACCGCAUGGUCUGGUGGUGGAAAGAUUUAUCGGCUGGGGAUGGGCCCGCGGCCUAUCAGCUUGUUGGUGGGGUAGUGGCCUACCAAGGCGACGACGGGUAGCCGGCCUGAGAGGGUGACCGGCCACACUGGGACUGAGACACGGCCCAGACUCCUACGGGAGGCAGCAGUGGGGAAUAUUGCGCAAUGGGCGGAAGCCUGACGCAGCGACGCCGCGUGGGGGAUGACGGCCUUCGGGUUGUAAACCUCUUUCAGCAGGGACGAAGCCGGAAGGUGACGGUACCUGCAGAAGAAGCACCGGCCAACUACGUGCCAGCAGCCGCGGUAAUACGUAGGGUGCAAGCGUUGUCCGGAAUUAUUGGGCGUAAAGAGCUCGUAGGCGGUUUGUUGCGUCGGCUGUGAAAUCCCGAGGCUCAACCUCGGGUCUGCAGUCGAUACGAGCAAACUAGAGUGUUGCAGGGGAGACUGGAAUUCCUGGUGUAGCGGUGAAAUGCGCAGAUAUCAGGAGGAACACCGGUGGCGAAGGCGGGUCUCUGGGCAGCAACUGAC